This 414-nucleotide long non-coding RNA is filed under the name Capsicum annuum. Its description in RNAcentral is "long non-coding RNA (CANN_LNC014345)". Lineage: Eukaryota; Viridiplantae; Streptophyta; Magnoliopsida; Solanales; Solanaceae. The record is from RNAcentral.
ACAUCCGCAUUUCUGCCACCUUCAUUUUUUGGAUGUGGGAGUUCUUAACUGGCCAACACUCCGCUCCAUACAACAAGGCCGGACGGACUACCACCCUGUAGAAUUUGCCUUUAAGCUUGGGCGGCACCUUCUUAUCACACAGCACCCCCGACGCGAGUUUCCACUUCAUCCAUCCCGCCCCAAUACGGUGCGAGACAUCCUUGUCAAUCUCACCGUUACUCUGGAUCACGGACCCAAGAUACUUGAACUUAUCCCUCUUACAUACCUCCUGUGCUUCCAGCUUCACUACCACCUCAUUUUCCCGCCUCACGUCAUUAAACUUGCAUUCCACAUACUUUGUCUUGCUUCUACUCACCCUGAACCCUUUAGACUCAAGAGUUUGCCUCCACACCUCUAAUUUGUCAUUCACACCCC